AGUCAAUGAUCGAAAGAUUGAUCUAGUUACUUAGAAAGAUGAAAGAUUAAGAAUAUAGAUAUAAAAAAUUAGAGAUAAAAAUUUAUGGAAAUAAAAGAAGAGAUGAAUCAAUGAAGAAUAUAAAGUCUUAACUAUAUGAUAGAAUAAUGAUCAAUAUAAGUGAGAGUCUUGACCAAAAAUAGUGCCAGCAGUAGCGGUUAAACUAUGGAGGCAAACGUUAAUAAUUAUGGCUUAAAGAAUCCGCAGAAUGUUUUAUAGAUUAUAAAAUAGUGUUUAAAAGAAAGAUUAAAGAAUUAUUUAAGGAGCGAUGAAAUGUGAAGAAAAAAAUAAGACAAAUAAAAGUUGAAGAUAUUAAUCAAGAUUUAAACAGACAUUGAGAGGAUGAGAGCUUGAGUAGUAAACGGGAUUAGAUACCCCAUUAAUUCAAGCCGUCAACUAUGAGUACUAAGAAGGAAUUAAAAGCGAAGGCUAAGUAUUCCGCCAGGUGAGUAUAUUCGCAAGAAUGAAAACCAAGACAAUAGACGGUUACAGGUUUAGGCAGUGGAUUGUGUUAU
Molecule: ribosomal RNA, 554 nt
Filed under: Wenyingozyma nitratophila
Lineage: Eukaryota; Fungi; Ascomycota; Pichiomycetes; Pichiales; Pichiaceae
Description: SSU rRNA
Rfam family: Bacterial small subunit ribosomal RNA
Source: RNAcentral